This 73-nucleotide transfer RNA is filed under the name Pseudoxanthomonas taiwanensis J19. Its description in RNAcentral is "tRNA-Gly". It matches the Rfam family "tRNA". From Rfam's summary of the family: Transfer RNA (tRNA) molecules are approximately 80 nucleotides in length. Their secondary structure includes four short double-helical elements and three loops (D, anti-codon, and T loops). RNAcentral also lists the same sequence under 2 other names. Lineage: Bacteria; Pseudomonadati; Pseudomonadota; Gammaproteobacteria; Lysobacterales; Lysobacteraceae. The record is from RNAcentral.
GCGGGAAUAGCUCAGUUGGUAGAGCGCAACCUUGCCAAGGUUGAGGUCGCGGGUUCGAGUCCCGUUUCCCGCU